CCGUAUCACAUGUUGUCGAUUUUGUUCACUCGCCCAUAUUCGUUGGCCCGAUCUCGGCAAUACGAGCACGCAGCAUUCAAGGUGAUGCUCAGGAACCACUGACCACUGCCGCAUUAGCGGGAGAAAAAUCUGAACAGCUUCCAUUAAAGGAUAUAACCAAGAAUUUAAAAAAAGUAAGCCCUGCGCAAGCGAAGGAAGAAAUUGAAAAAAGCUCAGACUAUGGCAAAUUAUUGGGAGCCAAUGCAUUAAAAGAAGAAAAAAAUCUAUCGGAUGAAAGUGAGGCAAAAAAAGAAAAGCUUCCGGAGGAUAACAGUAACAAAUUUUCUGAUAUUCCAAAGGGGGGCCUUUCUCAAGCUCCUUUACCAGCUCUGCCUUCUAAACUUAAAAGCGGGUCUUCUGACGACGUAAAUAUAAGCGACGAUCAUAAAGAGGCUACCAAAGGAGCCCUCUCCGAUCCAGAGCCUCAGCCUAAAAUUGCUUAAUUAAUAUUGCAUAGAAAACAUCAUCAAGCAAGAGGAAAGAUAAACCCAAACCGAGUACUCAAUACCUUAACAAACUGUGGAAAAAAUGGUAACUUUUGCUGAGCCACAGUUAAAUUCAUCUAGGCGACCGUACUAACAUCAUAAUAUUCCUAUUUUAUCAUACUAACCUACACAUACUCUUGAAAAAUUAAAGCGGGUAAAAUUACUCGAAAUGCAAAAAAAAAAAAACUUGUCACCGUAAGUUCAUCAUCAUUCAUAACCAUAAAAUAUAACAGAACAAUAAAAAUACAGAACAAAUGUG
Long non-coding RNA from Rhagoletis zephyria (snowberry fruit fly), 783 nucleotides. RefSeq lists it as uncharacterized. The record is from RefSeq and is a predicted model, not a curated record. Lineage: Eukaryota; Metazoa; Arthropoda; Insecta; Diptera; Tephritidae.